AACGUAGGAGACAAACGUUAUCCGGAGUUACUGGGCGUAAAGGGCGUGUAGGUGGUUUUGUAAGUCUGGCGUGAAAUUUUUCGGCUUAACCGGGAAAGGUCGUCGGAUACUGCAAGGCUAGAGGACGGUAGAGGCGUGUGGAAUUCCGGGUGUAGUGGUGAAAUGCGCAGAUAUCGGGAGGAACACCAAUUGCGAAGGCAGCUCGCUGGGACGUUACUGACGCUGAGACGCGAAAGCGUGGGGAGAAACAGG
This 252-nucleotide ribosomal RNA is filed under the name uncultured bacterium. RNAcentral describes it as "partial 16S ribosomal RNA". It matches the Rfam family "Bacterial small subunit ribosomal RNA", at positions 524 to 776 of the family's 1533-position model. The record is from RNAcentral.